CAAUAGCGUAUAUUAAAGUUGUUGCAGUUAAAAGCUCGUAGUUGGAUUUCUGGGAGGGUGCUAAUGUCCGCCGUAGCGCGUGUGCAGCCGCGCCCUUCCAUCCUUCUGUUAACGCCUCUUGGCAUUCAUUUGCUGGUGGCGGGCUCAGAUAUUUUACCUUGAGAAAAUUAGAGUGUUUAAAGCAGGCUUAUGCCGUUGAAUAUAUUAGCAUGGAAUAAUAAGAUAGGACUUUGAGUCUAUUUUGUUGGUUUGCGAGUCAAAGUAAUGAUUAAUAGGGACAGUUGGGGGUAUUCGUAUUUCAUUGUCAGAGGUGAAAUUCUUGGAUUUCUGAAAGACGAACUACUGCGAAAGCAUUUACCAAGGAUGUUUUCAUUAAUCAAGAACGAAAGUUAGGGGAUCGAAGACGAUCAGAUACCAU
Molecule: ribosomal RNA, 418 nt
Filed under: uncultured eukaryote
Lineage: Eukaryota
Description: bacterial SSU rRNA
Rfam family: Eukaryotic small subunit ribosomal RNA
Source: RNAcentral